CUCUUUCCUUUGCGUCCGGAGAGCGUGUGUCUGUGGUGGUUCGCCUUGGCGUUUUCUGCGCCAAAACAAAUAAAAAACCUGUUAUAGGACUUUUUGACUUGGCUGAAAAUGCAAAAAACUCAGACGUCUUGGGCUGCCACUUGGCGCUCAGCUUUUAAAACCCCUGGGUGGGACGGCCAGGGCCGACUUAGCGCGUUAGGCCGUCGGCGGCCACGUGCUGCCCUGGGCGCUGAGCCCGCGAGCGCGAUGGGCCCCGGGCCUUCGGGGUGAGCUAACACGCUGCCAGGAACGCCGAGGAAGAGUGUCCUUCCGCCUUCCAUCUGCGCCGCCAUAGUUGUGUGGUCACGCGUCCUGAUGGCCGCCGUUGGAGCCCGUUGGAAGCCGAGUUCCGAUGGGUGAUGGAAAUUAAAACAAGACAAGAAUUCUGAAGUGAUAUGGGUGACAUCUUGAUCAGUAUCCUGCAUACAGUACCUGUGAUUUUAAAUCUCACCAGGGGAAUGAGUGACUACUGAUGUUCUGAAGACUACUCUGGCUGUAUUUUAAAUACAUGUCUAAAUAAACUGCUAUUUAAAUAGUAGUUCAUUGUUAUAAUUGUAAAAUGGUAUUUGGUGUACCUUCACUCAGUAAAUACAAGUAACAGCAAACAUUACCUUGGAAUUCCAGUAUUGUAAGGGUAUUUUCAGCAUUUGGGGAAACUAAAACAUGUCAAUCCUAGAAAAAAUUGCUCGUUGUCUUAUCACAUGAAAGAUUAAAGCAACAAUACUAGGUGAAAAGCUAUGUGCUUUAUUUACACAAAUAUGCAACAAACACUUGUAUAUAGUAAAAGUCAGUUACCAAGAAAUGAGCUAUAACAUGUUACAAAGUAUUCCAAUUCAAGCUUGAACAAACUGAUAACUUUGUCUGCCAGCCUAGCUCAGUUGAAUUUCAAUAUAAAUGUUGCUUCCUCCAGCACUAGUUAUAAGGGCAGCCUGUGAGGGGUUUCUGCAGACUUUCUCACCUGUAUUGCACAUUCUUCCCAAGCCCUUGUGCAAGCUACAUUAGAUGCAGCUCAAUCAUUACAUUAUGUGACACUUAAACAUUUUCCCUCUAUCAAAAUCUUGAGCUUUUUAGAAGUUUUAAUGUAAUCCUACUUAAAUAACAUUACAUUUUUGCAAAGUUGUAAACUAUAAAGCACCAUUAGGUAAGCACCAGUUAACUUUUUUUUUAAACAAAGCUGAGGAUUUACAAAAAUGACAUGAUUUGAUGCAAAAGGUCCAGUCCAUUGUUAUGAGCAACUUGAGGGGGAGACUAUUUAAGCCACUCAAUGCUAAAGUUAACAUUAAACUUUAUGGUUUUUUGUCAUUACAUCUACCUCUUGCAUAUAACAAGAGUUUUCUUAGGAUUUCAGGGAGGAUUCAUUGGCAGUCAUGUCUAAAAAUUAUUUAGGUGUCUCGAGGGACAUACCUCAUACUUGGGUACAGAUUAUGUACUGCUGCCAAGGAUAGAUUUCAGGAUGUGUGAUAAGCAGCUUUCUCUUGCCCUUUGGUAAGUAGAGGAGAAACUUCAGGGUGUGGGCUGGUAACCAUUGUCAGCAUCAGGACUUCUUUCUGCAGUUGCCUUUCAAAAUCAGCUGUCUCAACUGGCUUCUAGACCUGUUUUCCUAAAAUUUUAAGUCCUUUGUAAAUUGAGGUGCACAGUGAACUUACGCAGUAUUUAGUACAGUAAGUUGGUUGAAAACUUGUGUGGAGCCUUCACCUAACUGGCAUGGAAAGCAUUUUUUUUUAAACAGUAUACCCCUGUCAGGUUCUAUAAGGUAACAGUCUUGGGGAAUCUGCAGUUUUGACCAAUUACUAGAAAGUUGCAGUAGGUGGCACUCUCAUCAUAUCCAGAAGACUUGUAAGGUUAGAAGCAAGAACAGGAGAUAGAAAAGUGGAUAUAUUGACUUGUGCAACCAAUAACUUGAAGGCAUUCUUUGUUAGCAGGAAUUGCAAGUUUUGCUUGUAACAUACCUGGAGCUAGAAUCUAUUUUUUGUCAUAGUUGCCAUAGUGCUUGGUAUGAUGGCUUCUUGGGAAUAAUUGUGAUUGGACAUAUAUCCCUGUGGCUUGAUCCUGUUCCAGUUGAGAUUUAUGAUGAAUAUUCCUUUACCAUUUUGGCCUUGGAUUUCCUUACUUGACAGGGCUUACCCAGAUAGAAACAUGUAUUCUUUUUUUUUAAGAACUCCCACUACUUGAGUAUAGUAAGGGUACUUUUUUAUCUAAAAUGUGAAUGCAUGUAUCAAUUCAAUUACAAGGCAUUCUCAAUCAAAAUGUAAAAAUGGCCUUUUUCUCAAUAUUUGAUAAUCUCGAGAAUGCUCAGAAACAGGCAAAAGAGAUCAAUGUAGCUUAAAUGAGAAUAAAGAAUUUAAUCACCAGUAAAACUGCUUUGGGCAGGCAACAAUGGUAACUGAAUGUAAUCAGAAUCACACUGAGGUAUCUAGCCAAAAAUGUUCACAUCACAAAUCUUAAAAGCAGCAAAGGGGAGGGAAACAUAAUUAAACAUAAACAUAAAAGUCCUCACUUGUUGAGUGAAUUUUAGCCUGAAAUCUUUCCAACAGGUAUUUCGAUAGUGUGUUUUCUCUUGAGUUUUUCAGGAAGAAUCAGAGUUGGGUGACACUUUUUAUCCAAGGUACAAAGGCUGAGACUUUUGUAUAAACACCUGGUGAAUCCUUGACUCCACAACCAUACCCCCAGGAGGUCACCCCAUACACAACCCAGUUCUGGCCUGGCCUUUCACACAUGAGUGGUCCUCCGCUGUCGCCCUGGCAGCUGUCCACGCGUUUGUGGUCCUGGAGAUUUCCAGCACACAGCAUCCUCCUUGUAAACCGGCCUUUAUAACGUUCUUCACAAAACCUCUUGGGAAGUAAGGGAAUGGCAGCUUGUUGAAGAGUUCUUGAAUAGGCUCGUCCUACUCAGACCAAAUAAUCUAAAUUAGAUUCCAAUUAAAGGGUUCACAGAAAAGAGCUACAUUGAACGGUUUACUGAACACUGAGUCAUCUUGAAAAUAAACUCUAUGAUGACAUGAGUAAAGUUUAAAUGAGUAAUAACUGAAUUAUACGUAACGUCAUUAGCUGCCUUUUCUAAUCUUGGCUCUUCUCACUAUCCUUCACUAAUGUCUUUCUCACCACUGUAUUCUGUGGGAGUAACUGAGUAACACUUAAGUACUCGGCUAUGAAGUUAACUAAAAAGCAUAUUUAUGCAAGCUUUAGUAUUGCAAUCCCAUCGAAAAGCUGAGGAUGCAUUCAUGCUGGCUUUGCAGUGACAUACCCAUUCCUCUAAGGUUACUCUACUUAAUGUGAGAAUUACAAAGAAUAAUUACACAUAAGCACAUAAGGUAGCGAUCACUGUUGUAAACAGUAAUACAGUAUUUCAUAAGGAAUAAUUGAGAAACAAAGCAUUCCUUAUGUAGACAGGCUUAGUUUUCACCACUUGAUGUUACCACUCUAGUAAGAUCAUUCACUCUUUGUUUAGUGGCUAAUAUGUUUACUACAUGUUCCAUGACGUCUUUUUCUUGGCUUUAAAUUCCACCAUUAUUUUCUGAUCCUAUUGAUUCAACUGGAAUCAUCAGUCUAUGGUAAAAUACGCUUCAUUGGUCAUUUCUAUUAUUGCAGAUGUAUCCAAAAGAUGAUUGAAUCUUCUUUCCUACAGAGGUGUUCAUAAUUCUAACAAAUUAGACUAUAGCUUUCUCAGAGACUAUUGGCACCCUGGUCAGCACAGUAUACUAAGACCAUUUUCUGGUCUCUUGUAAAGGGAACACCUAACUCAAGUGAGUGCUAGCUCUAUGGUUUCCAACACCAUGCUGAGCAAGCACCAGCUGGCAUCCAUGGAUUGAACUCUAGUAAGACUACACAAAGCCUUGUUCCCUUAUGAAAAAUAAGCUUAAACUGAGUAAUAGACUUUGGGGGGUUCGGAGGUGGGGAAAAAGGGAAGGAGACACUGAGGAGAAACUGGAAUGAAUGGAGUCCCUUCAGUUAAUCCUCAGCAGCUCUGCUCUGUCUGAUCUGAACAGGAAUUCUCCAAGAGUUGGGGCUUCAUGCAAAGAAAGAAAUAAUCAAACACUGAGCCCUUUGCGGGGUUAGCUACAUCAAAAUCAGUUGGGAAAGCUUAAAAUAGAGACUGCCAGGGCCCAAGUCUUACAGUAUGCCUUGAAAUCUUCCUUUGUCUCCUCACUAGUCUGCGGAACAAGAAGUAGAGAAAUCUCUACCCCUUAAGCUCCCAGGCAGUUGGGUUGUCAGUUUGUGCUAAGGUUCUUAUGGGAACCAACAGUGCCCUCAGGAUGUAAAUCCAAAUCACAUCCAUGCAUCUCACACUUGGCAAUAUUUCCAAUAACUAAGCCUGAACUCCUUUAGAUUUUACUACCUUUUGUGCACCCCAAAGUGAGGAGAACCCCAGACUGGAGAAAUGUGCAGACACAUUUGUUCCUUUGUAUUGUUUGCAUUACCUGUGUCUCCCCAUCCCGUGAUGUAACAAUUAGAGGCUGUUUUCUGUGGCCUCUCCCUCCGGAGGGGCAAACAGGCAGGCAAGACGUGGCUGCUGAACCUCGUACACUGCUCUUCUGGUCCCUGCAGUCUCACCAGGGCGAUGUCGUAGUCGCUGCUGUUUGGUCGGUACUCUGGGUGAAUCACGACCUGCUGAACUCCAAUUUCUUCCUCAUAUUCCUCAGGCACCUGAGUAUGAUAAUCCCCAACUCGAACAGCAUAGUUCUUAGUGCUGUUACCAUACCUGAGAGGCAGAGAGACUAAUGAGAGGCUUGUCUUACAUGCUGAAAUGAGUCAGCAGGUUAAUUCUUCAGUAGGUUAAUAGAGACACUGCAGACAAUAGGGUUGUCAGUUUGUUACAAAUCAUUGGCUCCUUUUUUAAAUUUAACCUUUCCAUUUCUCUGACCCCACUGGUCUCAGUUCUAUACUCAAAACCCAUCACUUCCUUUCUUCAUUUCAGUAUUUAAUCCAGAUUACAUUUGCUUUCUGAAAAAGCAAAUGUGAAAGAAGUGUGGAAAAUAAGGAGCUAAUCAUUAACCUGUCAUCAAGUGAAAAAUUAACAAAUAGUGUAGGGCAAAAUUACUGUCAUCGCUGCCUUCAUUUUUCUUUUUAAUACCACUUUCAAGCAGACUAUCUCAUUUACUAUUUAUUAUGUGUUUUAUUCUCUCUCUCCCCUGCUUGAAUAAAAGGCAUUCAAGGGCAUCAAUAUCUGUUGUGUUCACUGAAGAAUCUUAAAUACCUAGAACAAUGAGGCCCUGUUAAGUAGGAAUGUAGCUUAUGUUUGUUGAUUGAGUGAACAAAUGUACGUUUUUAUGUCUUCUUUCCGUAAGGAACUAUUCAGUUAAAAUAGAAACACAAUAUUUAUUAG
Molecule: long non-coding RNA, 5361 nt
Organism: Talpa occidentalis (Iberian mole)
Lineage: Eukaryota; Metazoa; Chordata; Mammalia; Eulipotyphla; Talpidae
Exons: 3
Source: RefSeq, a predicted model, not a curated record